Molecule: ribosomal RNA, 1157 nt
Filed under: Spirographa ophiurospora
Lineage: Eukaryota; Fungi; Ascomycota; Lecanoromycetes; Ostropales; Spirographaceae
Description: partial large subunit ribosomal RNA
Rfam family: Eukaryotic large subunit ribosomal RNA
Source: RNAcentral
GGUUGACCUCGGAUCAGGUAGGGAUACCCGCUGAACUUAAGCAUAUCAAUAAGCGGAGGAAAAGAAACCAACAGGGAUUGCCUCAGUAACGGCGAGUGAAGCGGCAACAGCUCAAAUUUGAAAUCUGGUCUUACGGCCCGAGUUGUAAUUUGCAGAGGGUGUCUCGGGUGAGCUACCGGCCUAAGUUCCUGGAACAGGGCGUCAUAGAGGGUGAGAAUCCCGUAUGCGGCCGGCCUGCGAUCCCAUGUGAGACCCCUUCGACGAGUCGAGUUGUUUGGGAAUGCAGCUCAAAAUGGGUGGUAAAUUUCAUCUAAAGCUAAAUACCGGCCAGAGACCGAUAGCGCACAAGUAGAGUGAUCGAAAGAUGAAAAGCACUUUGAAAAGAGAGUUAAAAAGUAUGUGAAAUUGUUGAAAGGGAAGCGCUUGCAACCAGACUCGUCCGCGGGUGCUCAGCCGUCCUUCGGGGCGGUGCAUUCUCCCGCGGCCGGGCCAGCAUCGGUUCCAGCGGCCGGAUAAAGGCUCCAGGAAUGUGGCACUCUUCGGGGUGUGUUAUAGCCUGGGGUACAAUGCGGCCAGCCAGGACCGAGGACCGCGCUUUUGCUAGGAUGCUGGCGUAAUGGUUGCCAGCGACCCGUCUUGAAACACGGACCAAGGAGUCGACCAACUGUGCGAGUGUUUGGGUGUAAAACCCAUGCGCGUAAUGAAAGUGAACGGAGGUGGGAGCCCUUUGGGUGCACCAUCGACCGAUCCUGAUGUCUUCGGAUGGAUUUGAGUAUGAGCAUAGCUGGUCGGACCCGAAAGAUGGUGAACUAUGCGUGAAUAGGGUGAAGCCAGAGGAAACUCUGGUGGAGGCUCGCAGCGGUUCUGACGUGCAAAUCGAUCGUCAAAUUUGCGCAUAGGGGCGAAAGACUAAUCGAACCAUCGGUGAUACCGAGACUACUAGGUGGUUAAGUGGGAGUCCUUCGGGGCUUUUCAGUCGGCCGGCUUUUCUUUCGAAGGGCCGGCGGGCGACAUCGCUAAUUAUCAUGGACCUGCUCGCCGGGGGACGACCCCCGGGGAUCAGGAAUAUGCAGCGGCUUCACUCGCCGUACACAGACCAAAUAGCGGUGGCUCUCCGGGCAGCCCGGGGGGUUAAGAAAUGGCCGAGUCCGCGCUCU